RNAcentral lists this ribosomal RNA (482 nucleotides) under uncultured bacterium. RNAcentral's name for it is "bacterial SSU rRNA". It matches the Rfam family "Bacterial small subunit ribosomal RNA", at positions 29 to 507 of the family's 1533-position model. The record is from RNAcentral.
AUUGAACGCUGGCGGCAUGCCUUACACAUGCAAGUCGAACGGUAACGCGGGGCAACCUGGCGACGAGUGGCGAACGGGUGAGUAAUGCAUCGGAACGUGCCCAGUAGUGGGGGAUAGCCCGGCGAAAGCCGGAUUAAUACCGCAUACGACCUACGGGUGAAAGGGGGGGAUCGCAAGACCUCUCGCUAUUGGAGCGGCCGAUGUCAGAUUAGGUAGUUGGUGGGGUAAAGGCCUACCAAGCCGACGAUCUGUAGCUGGUUUGAGAGGACGACCAGCCACACUGGGACUGAGACACGGCCCAGACUCCUACGGGAGGCAGCAGUGGGGAAUUUUGGACAAUGGGCGCAAGCCUGAUCCAGCCAUGCCGCGUGCGGGAAGAAGGCCUUCGGGUUGUAAACCGCUUUUGUCAGGGAAGAAACGCCUUGGGCUAAUACCCCAGGGUAAUGACGGUACCUGGAGAAUAAGCACCGGCUAACUACGUG